CCUACGGGAGGCUGCAGUGGGGAAUAUUGCACAAUGGGGGAAACCCUGAUGCAGCGACGCCGCGUGAGCGAUGAAGCGUCUCGGUGUGUAAAGCUCUGUCAGCAGGAACGACGAUGACGGUACCUGACGAAGAAGCCCCGGCUAACUACGUGCCAGCAGCCGCGGUAAUACGUAGGGGGCAAGCGUUAUCCGGAUUUACUGGGUGUAAAGGGAGCGUAGACGGUGGGGCAAGCCCGGAGUGAAAGGCCGGGGCCCAACCCCGGGACCGCUGUGGAAACUGGCAGGCUGGAGUGCGGGAGAGGUAGGCGGAAUUCCUAGUGUAGCGGUGAAAUGCGUAGAUAUUAGGAGGAACACCAGCGGCGAAGGCGGCUUGCUGGACCAUGACUGACGUUGAGGCUCGAAAGCGUGGGGAGCAAACAGGAUUAGAUACCCUGGUAGUC
Molecule: ribosomal RNA, 440 nt
Filed under: uncultured bacterium
Lineage: Bacteria
Description: partial 16S ribosomal RNA
Rfam family: Bacterial small subunit ribosomal RNA
Source: RNAcentral